GAUGAACGCUGGCGGCGUGCCUAAUACAUGCAAGUCGAGCGAAAAGACGAGGAGCUUGCUCCUCUGACGUUAGCGGCGGACGGGAGAGUAACACGUGGAUAACCUACCUAUAAGACUGGGAUAACUUCGGGAAACAGGAGCUAAUACCGGAUAAUAUAUUGAACCGCAUGGUUCAAUAGUGAAAGACGGUUUUGCUGUCACUUAUAGAUGGAUCCGCGCCGCAUUAGCUAGUUGGUAAGGUAACGGCUUACCAAGGCAACGAUGCGUAGCCGACCUGAGAGGGUGAUCGGCCACACUGGAACUGAGACACGGUCCAGACUCCUACGGGAGGCAGCAGUAGGGAAUCUUCCGCAAAGGGCGAAAGCCUGACGGAGCAACGCCGCGUGAGUGAUGAAGGUCUUCGGAUCGUAAAACUCUUUUAUUAGGAAAGAACAAAUGUGUAAGUAACUAUGCCCGUCUUGACGGUACCUAAUCAGAAAGCCACGGCUAACUACGUG
Molecule: ribosomal RNA, 497 nt
Filed under: uncultured bacterium
Lineage: Bacteria
Description: partial 16S ribosomal RNA
Rfam family: Bacterial small subunit ribosomal RNA
Source: RNAcentral